GCAGAAGCAAACUUUCCUGUACUGAAACCGAGUGCUCAUGAGAGACCUGCUGAAAUGCAUCAUCUAGCACAAAGGUUUCUGCAGGAUUACAAGGUGUUGAAGCUGUGUGGAAAUCCUUACCCGAUUUAUAUUCCAUAUGGAAAUUAAGGACCAGAUCCUUUCUUCAGAGGAGUUGCUUCGAUUUACACCCACUGGGAAUAUGACACAAUGCUCUUUCCAUAGAGAACAAACAGAAUAUCAUAGGAUCAUAAAAUCUCAGAGAAACCCCGCCAAAGCCCAGAGGCAACUUAUUUCCACACGACAAAGAAACAGAUUGACUGCUACUUGAUUCCUGCUCUGUAUUGAUAGUGAUGAUAGAAAUACACCACACAUGCAGAAGCAU
Molecule: long non-coding RNA, 382 nt
Filed under: Crocodylus porosus (Australian saltwater crocodile)
Lineage: Eukaryota; Metazoa; Chordata; Crocodylia; Crocodylidae
Description: lncRNA (ENSCPRG00005007428.1)
Source: RNAcentral